This 489-nucleotide ribosomal RNA is filed under the name uncultured bacterium. Its description in RNAcentral is "bacterial SSU rRNA". It matches the Rfam family "Bacterial small subunit ribosomal RNA", at positions 29 to 526 of the family's 1533-position model. The record is from RNAcentral.
AAUGAACGUUGGCGGCGUGGAUUAGGCAUGCAAGUCGUGCGGCAGCAGGUCCUUCGGGAUGCUGGCGAGCGGCGAAAGGGAGAGUAACGCGUGGGUUACCUACCCUCGGCUUCAGGAUAGCGUCGGGAAACUGACGGUAAUACUGAAUAACAUCUCCGGAUCAAAGGUGUGAUUCCGGCCGAGGACUGGCCCGCGUCCUAUUAGCUACGCGUGAGGUAAUGGCUCACGUUGGCGAUGAUGGGUACGAGGUGUGAGAGCACGACCUCGCUCACUGGGACUGAGACACUGCCCAGACACCUACGGGUGGCUGCAGUCGAGAAUCUUCGGCAAUGGGCGCAAGCCUGACCGAGCGACGCCGCGUGCGGGACGAAGGCCUUCGGGUUGUAAACCGCUGUCAGAGAGGCGGAAAUGCUUAGGGGUUCACUCCUAAGUUUGACCUAAUCUCAGAGGAAGCACGGGCUAAGUUCGUGCCAGCCGCCGCAGUAAAAC